UUUAAAAAAAGUCCUCAUUAACUCUGUUGGGAAUAUGCUUUAUGUUUUGGUUGAUGGUUAAACUGAGACUUGACUAUGAGUUGUAUGUUUUGCCCAUCACUGCCUUGGUAUUAAUUCACCAUUGAAGCACUGAAGAAACUAUAAAUUGCUUCAUUCCAGUAAGGAGGCAAUGAAGAAACUAUAAAUUAUUUUCACUAAUAACUUCAAAAAUAUUCUGAGAUUCUUAUACAUUGUUGUAUUUAUAUGAUUGCUUCUUAGCCUAUUCCUUUGUUGUCAAAACCAGCAGUCCCAAUGCCCCUACGAGUACAUACUGCAAGGAAAAAAGAACGAAUUAACAUUCAAAUGUUAACUUUUAUACAAUAUUAGCUUUCCUUCAAAAAAAAAAAAAUACAAUAUUAGCUACCAAAGAAAAAAUAUGUAGUGACAAAAGUAGAAGGAGAAUGUUGCUGAGCAAAGAAAACCAAAAGGAAAACUUUGUUUGCUAGAAGUGAAAAAGUGUAUAGUAUUUAGGUAGAUAGACAUGGCCUACUUGAAUUGACUUAUUUGAGCAUAUAUAUUGACAUAAGUCUUGUGAGACUGUUUGUCAGAACUUAUGUCAAAAAAACUUACGACAUUUUUCAUAAGCUUUUUUCAGCUUAUUUUUAAAAGAUCCCCAAGAUAUAAAAAUAACUUAUAGCAUAUACAAAAACAAUAUAAUUUCAUUUUAUUUUCUAUAAAAAUAGUUUAUGUGAGCUUAUACGUAAACGUUUAUCAUGAUAAGCGCUUGCGCUAUAAGCUGCAAAUAAGCUAUUUAUCCAAACAGGGUCGCCUGAAAUUUAUAUACUGCUUACAUAUUAAAACGAAAAUUGCAGUCACCUACAAAGUCGCGUUCUUUUAGUUUUAGUCCAUGUUAAAUUUUAAUAGUAAUUUUAGUCCUCCAUAAUAUUGCAGUUUGUAAGAAUAGUCCCUAUUUUGAAAAUAAUUUACAAAAAAUGGAUAUUUUUAGUCCCCAAAUUAGUUCCUAUAAAACGCAAUAUGGACA
RNAcentral lists this long non-coding RNA (1021 nucleotides) under Trifolium pratense (red clover). Its description in RNAcentral is "long non-coding RNA (TPRA_LNC007446)". The record is from RNAcentral. Lineage: Eukaryota; Viridiplantae; Streptophyta; Magnoliopsida; Fabales; Fabaceae.